Long non-coding RNA from Haliotis rubra (blacklip abalone), 3024 nucleotides. RefSeq lists it as uncharacterized. The transcript has 3 exons. NCBI's taxonomy places the organism in Eukaryota, Metazoa, Mollusca, Gastropoda, Lepetellida, Haliotidae. The record is from RefSeq and is a predicted model, not a curated record.
CUGGUGUCCCCCGCCGUGAUGUUGCUGGAAUAUUGCUAAAAGCGGCGUAAAACCAAACUCAGUCAGUCAGUCAGUCAAGACAGAAGUGUUGUGUCAGAUGAAUGUCAGGUCAUUUCUUCAAUACAGAAGUGUUGUGUCAGAUGAUUGUGUGAUCUGAAUGUCAGUUCAUGACUUAAAGACAAGUGUUGUGUCAGAUGAUUGUGAGAGAUUAAUGUCAGGUCAAUACUUUCUGUGUAGGUCACAGCCUUGUGCCCUGUGAUAUCCUAUGCUUGACAUAACUUACUAUUUUCGACAUUUCGCCAACUGCAGUGUGCAUGGAGCUACAUGGCAGGUCCCUUCUGUGGGUCAUUUCACCUAUUGCUUACCCAGCCAUGUUGAAAACUGUUCCUGCAGCACAGCAGUCAUGGUGAAAAUCACCAAUAAGUGAAUAUAUGAAUGUUUCGUAUGGACACAGUUACAGGUUAAUAAUAUUUUAUAUCUAGAUUUUGAUACUAAUUUACACUCUGUACUUUUUGUUUAGGUUUUGUUUGAUAUGGGAGUGCAAAUAUCUACAGGUCAGUUUAAGCUGAAGAACCAGUAUUUUCAGCUUUUAUUUAGUUAUCAAGUAUGAAGUUAUGAAGGGUCUUGUAAUGUUCGAUGAUGCCAGAUGUGGAACCAGAACCAGUCACUGAAAAGUCAUACACACUCACUGAUGUUGGGAUGGGGUGUCUCUAUCAGGACACAGGAGGUGCUCUCUACUGACCACCCACCCUCACAGAUGUGGGUAAGGUGUCUGUAUCUGAACAUAGGAGGUGCUCUCUACUGACCACCCACUCUCACAGAUGGGGGUAAGGUGUCUGUAUCUGGACACAGAAGGUGCGCUCUACUGACCACCCACUCUCACAGAUGGGGGUAAGGUGUCUGUAUCUGGACACAGAAGGUGCGCUCUACUGACCACCCACCCUCACAGAUGGGGGUUAGGUGUCUGUAUCUGAACACAGGAGGUGCUCUCUACUGACCACCCACUCUCACAGAUGUGGGUUAGGUGUCUGUAUCUGGACACAGAAGGUGCGCUCUACUGACCACCCACUCUCACAGAUGGGGGUAAGGUGUCUGUAUCUGAACACAGGAGGUGCUCUCUACUGACCACCCACUCUCACAGAUGUGGGUUAGGUGUCUGUAUCUGGACACAGAAGGUGCGCUCUACUGACCACCCACCCUCACAGAUGUGGGUUAGGUGUCUACAGGUAUCUGGACACAGAAGGUGCACUCUACUGACCACCCACUCUCACAGAUGUGGGUUAGGUGUCUGUAUCUGGACACAGCAGGUGCGCUCUACUGACCACCCACUCUCACAGAUGGGGGUAGGGUGUCUGUAUCUGGACACAGGAGCUGCUCUCUACUGACCACCCACUCUCACAGAUGGGGGUAAGGUGUCUGUAUGUGGACACAGAAGGUGCUCUCUACUGACCACCCACUCUCACAGAUGUGGGUUAGGUGUCUGUAUCUGGACACAGGAGGUGCUCUCUGCAGUUGAUGUAGGCCAGAUUUUAUCACAAUGUUGUAAGCAAUAGGUAACACCUGUGAUGUCAACAGUAGGUAAAUGUUUUGGUUUCAAUACCAUGUAACAGUGUACUAACUUAUGUUGUCAACAGUAUCUCCUGUCGUGUGUCAUCCUAUUCCAUGAUUGUGAGAUAGGUAUCUGUGUGUCAACAGGUCCGGUUGGCAACAACAGGCAAGUGCAUGCUGUUGAUGUAUUCUCAUUGCAGUUGUCUGCUGGCUGUAUCGUGUAACAGCGGGAACCAGCUAGCUUGUAAUUCUGUUAAGCAUUGCUUGGGUAACCUUGUUUUAUGUUGCAGAUUAUUGUUUUGUAUUUUUAAGGACAUCUAAAUGUUCUCAUGUGUCAUGAAUCUAUGUAAUUCAAUAAGUUAUAUAUGUUGUGGAUUAUGCAAUAUCUCAAAUUAUUGUACUAAACUCUUUCUUGCGUCAGACACUCCCAACAGAGUCAACACUAUCAUGCCAGGUACAUGCAACAAUGUGGGGUACUGGCUACAGUGUCAGGUACUAUACUGGGUACUGGCUACUGUGACCAGUACUGUACCAAGUACUGGCUACUGUGACCAGUACUGUACCAAGUACUGGCUACUGUGACCAGUACUGUACCAAGAACUGGCUACUGUGACCAGUACUGUACCAAGUACUGGCUACUGUGACCAGUACUAUACCAAGUACUGGCCACUGUGACCAGUGCUAUACCAAGUACUGGCUACUGUGACCAUCACUAUACCAGGUACUGGCUACUGUGACCAGCACUAUACCAGGUACUGGCUACUGUGACCAGCACUAUACCAGGUACUGGCUACUGUGACCAGCACUAUACCAGGUACUGGCUACUGUGACCAGUACUGUACCAAGUACUGGCUACUGUGACCAGUACUGUACCAAGUACUGGCUACUGUGACCAGCACUAUACCAUGUACUGGCUACUGUGACCAGCACUAUACCAUGUACUGGCUACUGUGACCAGCACUAUACCAAGUACUGGCUACUGUGACCAGUACUGUACCAAGUACUGGCUACUGUGACCAGUACUGUACCAAGUACUGGCUACUGUGACCAGCACUAUACCAGGUACUGGCUACUGUGAUCAGCACUAUACCAGGCACUGGCUACUGUGACCAGUACUAUACCAGGCACUGGCUACUGUGACCAGCACUAUACCAGGCACUGGCUACUGUGACCAGCACUAUACCAGGUACUGGCUACUGUGACCAGCACUAUACCAGGUACUGGCUACUGUGACCAGCACUAUACCAGGUACUGGCUACUGUGACCAGUACUAUACCAGGUACUGGCUACUGUGACCAGCACUAUACCAGGUACUGGCUACUGUGACCAGUACUAUACCAGGUACUUGUCAUCAUCUUGAUGCAGUUCACCAUAUAUGCAGCAUUACUAGAGGCGUGUUGAGAUCCCUGUGUGCAACCACGUGUAUGUUAGUCACCUGUGUGUGUGGAUAUUCUGAAAAUAAACACUUUCACUCAA